GAUGAAGAACGCAGCGAAAUGCGAUAACUAAUGUGAAUUGCAGAAUUCCGUGAAUCAUCGAGUCUUUGAACGCACAUUGCGCCCCCUGGUAUUCCGGGGGGCAUGCCUGUCCGAGCGUCAUUACAACCCUCAAGCCCGGCUUGUGUAAUGGGCGGCCGUCUCUCCCCCCGGGGGGAGACGCCCCCGAAACUCAGUGGGGAUGUCGCGAUACCGAAGCCUCAGCUAAUGGGUAAACCACAGCUGCAAUGGCCGCGGCCGGCGUCCGCCUUCCACGGUCCGUCCGCCUAGCGCGGGCGGCCUUCUUAAGGUUGACCUCGGAUCAGGUAGGGAUACCCGCUGAACUUAAGCAUAUCAAUAAGCGGAGGA
RNAcentral lists this unclassified non-coding RNA (366 nucleotides) under soil metagenome. Its description in RNAcentral is "partial contains 5.8S ribosomal RNA, internal transcribed spacer 2, and large subunit ribosomal RNA". The stretch from base 1 to 120 matches the Rfam family "5.8S ribosomal RNA", at positions 35 to 154 of the family's 154-position model. The record is from RNAcentral.